GACCGCGUAGCUCAGCUGGAAGAGCAUUGGGCUAGUAUUCCAAAGGUCGUAGGUUCGAAUCCCACCGUGACCG
RNAcentral lists this transfer RNA (73 nucleotides) under Paramuricea clavata. It matches the Rfam family "tRNA". From Rfam's summary of the family: Transfer RNA (tRNA) molecules are approximately 80 nucleotides in length. Their secondary structure includes four short double-helical elements and three loops (D, anti-codon, and T loops). Further hydrogen bonds mediate the characteristic L-shaped molecular structure. tRNAs have two regions of fundamental functional importance: the anti-codon, which is responsible for specific mRNA codon recognition, and the 3' end, to which the tRNAs corresponding amino acid is attached (by aminoacyl-tRNA synthetases). tRNAs cope with the degeneracy of the genetic code in two manners: having more than one tRNA (with a specific anti-codon) for a particular amino acid; and 'wobble' base-pairing, i.e. permitting non-standard base-pairing at the 3rd anti-codon position. The record is from Rfam by way of RNAcentral. Lineage: Eukaryota; Metazoa; Cnidaria; Anthozoa; Malacalcyonacea; Plexauridae.